GACGAACGCUGGCGGCGUGCUUAACACAUGCAAGUCGAACGGUGAACCCGGAGCUUGCUCCGGUGGAUUAGCGGCGAACGGGUGAGUAACACGUGAGUAACCUGCCCUUGACUCUGGGAUAACUGCGGGAAACUGUAGCUAAUACCGGAUACGACCCUCGGCGGCAUCGCCAGGGGGUGGAAAGAAUUUCGGUCAAGGAUGGACUCGCGGCCUAUCAGCUAGUUGGUGAGGUAACGGCUCACCAAGGCGACGACGGGUAGCCGGCCUGAGAGGGUGACCGGCCACACUGGGACUGAGACACGGCCCAGACUCCUACGGGAGGCAGCAGUGGGGAAUAUUGCACAAUGGGCGCAAGCCUGAUGCAGCAACGCCGCGUGAGGGAUGACGGCCUUCGGGUUGUAAACCUCUUUUAGUAGGGAAGAAGCGAAAGUGACGGUACCUGCAGAAAAAGCACCGGCUAACUACGUGCCAGCAGCCGCCGUAA
This 484-nucleotide ribosomal RNA is filed under the name uncultured bacterium. RNAcentral describes it as "partial 16S ribosomal RNA". It matches the Rfam family "Bacterial small subunit ribosomal RNA", at positions 28 to 523 of the family's 1533-position model. The record is from RNAcentral.